Molecule: ribosomal RNA, 301 nt
Filed under: uncultured bacterium
Lineage: Bacteria
Description: partial 16S ribosomal RNA
Rfam family: Bacterial small subunit ribosomal RNA
Source: RNAcentral
CAGUCGCCGCGGGAAUACGUAGGUGGCAAGCGUUGUCCGGAUUUAUUGGGCGUAAAGCGAGCGCAGGCGGUUUCUUAAGUCUGAUGUGAAAGCCCCCGACUCAACCGGGGAGGGUCAUUGGAAACUGGGAGACUUGAGUGCAGAAGAGGAGAGUGGAAUUCCAUGUGUAGCGGUGAAAUGCGUAGAUAUAUGGAGGAACACCAGUGGCGAAGGCGGCUCUCUGGUCUGUAACUGACGCUGAGGCUCGAAAGCGUGGGGAGCAAACAGGAUUAGAUACCCGAGUAGUCCCUGUCUCUUAUAC